RNAcentral lists this unclassified non-coding RNA (205 nucleotides) under uncultured Cortinarius. RNAcentral describes it as "sequence contains ITS2". Lineage: Eukaryota; Fungi; Basidiomycota; Agaricomycetes; Agaricales; Cortinariaceae. The record is from RNAcentral.
AUAUAUCAACCUCUACAGUUUUUGCUUGUUUGAGUGUUGGAUGUGGGGGUUUAUCUUUUGCUGGCCUUUAUGAGGCCAGCUCCCCUGAAAUUCAUUAGCAGAACAAUUUGUUAACCUGUUCAUUGGCGUGAUAACUAUCUAAGCUAUUGAUGGAAAACAGUUCAGCUUCUAAUAGUCCAUUGACUUGGACAAUUUUUUAUUAUUA